GUUAGCUUAGUUUUAGUGUUAAGUGUAGUUUUAGCGUUAGGCAUAGGUUCCUGUUAGUAGUUUGGAGUUAGGCGUAGGUUCCUGUUAGUAGUUUGGAGUUAGGCGUAGGUUCCUGUUAGUAGUUUGGAGUUAGGCGUAGGUUGCUUUUGGUAGUUUAGAGUUAGGCGUAGGUUGCUGCUACCAAGUGGCAGUAAAUGCUGCUCACUCGGUAAGCUGCUCACUCUGCCCUGAUUUAUCAUGCAGGGAAAUGAGUGCCACUGCCCUGAGAAGGGAGGUUUGGUGACGUCUGCGAUGAAUUGAAUUCCGUCUUGUGACUUUUCUGUUGCAGAACAUGGAGGAGCGGCUGAGCAAUGGAGUUGGGACUCGGGGGAGCAAUAGGUGCCUGUGUCCCAAGCUUCCUGUGUGGCCCUUGCAAGCUCCUGCUCCCCUCGCCUGCAAGUGGAGCGAUGCUCAAGUUUGAGGAAUCUUUUCCUCGGCAGGCGGUAAAAGACGCCGCAGCUGCGAGUUUUGUGUCCUUCUUUGUUAUUGG
Molecule: non-coding RNA, 529 nt
Organism: Meleagris gallopavo (turkey)
Lineage: Eukaryota; Metazoa; Chordata; Aves; Galliformes; Phasianidae
Source: RefSeq, a predicted model, not a curated record